Molecule: long non-coding RNA, 1388 nt
Filed under: Lactuca sativa (garden lettuce)
Lineage: Eukaryota; Viridiplantae; Streptophyta; Magnoliopsida; Asterales; Asteraceae
Description: long non-coding RNA (LSAT_LNC002104)
Source: RNAcentral
AUUGAUAUACAUAAUUCAUUAAAUUACAACAAAUGAAUUUCAAUUUGUAAUACUUGUUAUAAGUUGAGUAUAAUUAUCAUUUACAUGAGAAAAACUUAACUAUAAUAGCAAUAUACUUACAUUGAUUAAGAAAUAAUAGCAACGUACUUACUCUUUUUUACAUAAGAUAGCAAAAAGAACAAUCCCGCAAUUGGUAACCAAUUAUGUAGUAUUUUUUUUCUGCCACAAAGUAAUGAUUUUUGGCAUAAGGUCCAAUAGCACGAGUUGUUGGACGUGAGAAGAUUCAAUUUUCGUUGCUAAGAUGCAAAACCUAUAAAUAACAAAAAAAAAAAAAAAAGAUGAAAAUAUAUGAAGAGAUGAAGAAAGCGAUCGAGGGAGACAUACUUGGAAAUAGGGGGAGGUUGAAGAUAAAUUUGUAAUUUGAAACAAUUGAAUUUGAAUGGAAAAUCGAGUUGGGUUUUAAGAGCACCGAGAGAGGUGGCCUUUAAUUUUCUCAAUUAGAAGUAGACUUUUUUAAAUCGCAAUGUUUUCAUAUUGAUGCUUCUUCCAAUUAUUAGCAUUCUAAAAAUCAACACCUUUUUCACCCCAAUAUUCUUCCACUUGUAGAUCAACAUGUUUUCUCACAUUCUCAGCUUGCUACACAUCAAUGAAAGAUAAAAACUUCAUGAUUGUGUGUAUAAAAAGCAUAUUGGAAGCAAAUGUAAUAAAUAUACUACCUGAUCUGGUCUCCAAAAAGUGAAAAAAUGCUAUUGUGUUCGGCUUCAAUGCUUGUUCCAUAGUUUCUAUUUGAUAAUGAUCAAAAUUCCAAAAAUAAUUGCAUCAAGAAACACUUACAACUAAUCAAAAUACUUAAACUAAUCAAGAAUUUUCAUUCAAAUCAUGUAAAAAAUACCUUCUGUAAGGCUAUUGUGAAGAUAAGGAUGCUUGAAAUCGUUUUUCAUUGAUCUGAAACCGUAAAAAAAAUAAGCGUUCAAUUUUUUUUCAAGAAAAGCAUCAGGAUAUCAAAAGUACCAAAUCUGUGUGAAGCAAAAAUGACAAGAGGGAAGCAACGACGUUAAGUGAAGCCAAUCGGAAGUAUCAAACAGCAGGGAGGGAAGCAAAUGACUGAGUGGCUUCUAGGGUUUUUAGAAAGAACAAAGGACCAUUGUGUUAGGUGAUGGUGAAAGAAAGGCGAUGGCAGAAAUCGUGCUGGUGAAUAUAUUAGAGUCGGGAGAAAGAGAGAAAGGGAAGCCGAUGAUGGUGGGAAACGGAUUAGGGUUUUAAUAAGAGAUAAAGUUAAGAGAAUAGCUGACGAGGUGGCUGAUUUCUAGGCUUCAAUAUGUAAAGUUUUAAAGUGUUACACAUCGAAGCAUUGAAGGGUAGAUGGUAAAUGUGUAAUUUAACUUUCG